UUUCUCUUCCCCACUUCCCUCUUCCUCCUGGCAAAAGAUGGACUUAUGUACUAAAGUACUACUCUUCCCUCCCACAAAAUUUACAAAAGUUUCUACUUCUUAGAUUUGGACCCCACAACAAACCUCAGUUAAUCAACAAAUAAAAUUGAAUUCUUUUAAAAGAAAAAGUAAUAUGAUCAUCAACCAGAUAAAACCUCUAAUUGUCUUGUUCUAGCAAGCUGCAGCUUAAAGUUUGAACUAAACGGGGAAAAAAAAAAAAUUCUUUACUUAAUUCUCAAGUGGCAUAUUAACAUGCUUUAUUGAACUCAUAAUUCUAAAUUUACCUAAGAAAUAUCCACUCCACCUUUACAAAGACCUAGUACAUUCAUGAAGCUUAUACAACAAACUGCAGU
This 392-nucleotide unclassified non-coding RNA is filed under the name uncultured bacterium. Its description in RNAcentral is "contains 16S-23S intergenic spacer region". The record is from RNAcentral.